UUGACACGCGCCCAUCCCCCCACAUCUCACGGUCGCAGUCAGUUUCACAGAGCAGCGCAGGAGGACGACAGACACUUAAAGAACAUUAACAGUUUAGUUUGAAUCUCUCUCAGUCAGUCAGGGGGAGAUUAAGGCUUCGUUCAUACUGCAGGGCUUAAUGCUCAAUUCCGAUUUUUUGAAAAAAUUAGAUUUUUUUGCAAGGCCGUUCACAUUUCCAAUAAAAUGCGACCUUUUGUGAUCUCCUGUGUGAACGUGAAAUGACCCAGAAGUGACCCGCAUGCGCAUAAGAGUACUCCACGGUCAAGGACAUCACUUGUAAGCUAACGUUAAACAUGGAUGUCAACAACGGUGUAGUCAACAGUGGAGCUCUUUUUGCAAUAUUAAAGUUAUUUUCCCAACGGAGCCAGCACAAUUACAAUCUUCUGUUUUUUUAUGUAAAAUGUAAGGUAACAUUUGUUUAAUUAUUCCUCAUAUCAUUUUAAAGCCACGAUCUACAGAACAUCACACAAAAAACAUUUUGAUAACUACACCUAAAAAAAAUAAAGGAGAUCCUGCCUUGGAAACUCCGGCUACAAUUCAGUGUUUUUAUAUAAUUUGGAGAUUUAGCGCGUCAAAGCAGUCAUGACAAAAAAAACGACAAAUGAGAAAUGACAAAUAAUUUGUGUUUGUUACUGUAAAUGAUAAAAACUAAGCUUUAUAUACAAUUCAUUAAACGUUAAUUUAUAACAAGAAAAACACUGAAAUUAAUGAUUUUAUAGACACUACGCGUUAUUAUUUAGCAUAGAAAUACCUGCUUCCUUGCUUUGACUUUGAUCAUCUCUGUAUUCACUUUAGAUACAGAAAGACCUGAUGAAAUUAUUUAUUUCAGGAAUCUCUUUGCUAUCAUUUGAAAGUGAACACACGAAGACAGUCGUGUCAGGCAUAAAUAUAGGUUUGGUGCAGAUAUUUUCCGUUUCAGCACCGAAAUUUAAAGAAACGGCUUACCUGUUUUGUAGUUUAACUUUUGACAAAAUAACCAGUUUGUUUUAAAUACAUUUUAAAAACUUAUACCCGUCGAAAAACAUCCGUUUUUUAAUGUUUAGUUUGAUGAACUCCUAAAUAUGAGACGAAGAGCACCUAGCCUGUUCGGCUAAAUUGCAUGCGCAAGCAUGGCCAGCACGCAAUAGCGCAACAUCGAUACAACGAAACGCAAUCCAAAAUUUACAGACUUAAAUUAGAUCAGAAUUUACGUUUAUCAUAAAUACAAUUUUUUUUUAUAAAAUAAGGUCAGAAGUAACAAAGUGCAGAACAAAUGUGCAAAAUGCCUCAAGUGCACGGAAACAAAACACAAGCCAAAUAGAUAAAUCAGAUAACCCAGAGUGAUUUAUAAAUAAAAUAAAGAAAUUAUUAAAAGAACGAAAGUAUAGCCAGAAUUGCCAGCUUUGUCUUUUAAAUGUGGAAACAAAGAGGCAAUGGUUUAUAAACAUAGAAACCUCUUAUGGACGUGUCGACCGGUCACAGGGGUUGUUGGAUUUAUAAACGCAUUUUAAAAAUAUUUAUUGAAAGCUGCUACUUAUAUUAUUCGCAGCAUUAUAAUAAUAUGCUAUAUAUUAAUAUAUUUGGAGAACGCUGUUAUAUGUGAAAUCAUAUAACGUGUGCACCCAUACGGCCAAAAUUUAAUGAUGUGGAGCAGUGUCGCCCAUGGUUGUUGUUUAUCUUAUCGUUCUUGCCUACUUCAAUGCAGAAUUAUGACGUUUGUAGCGUAUCAGUGACGUACGGGUCGGAUCCAUGUGGCCUGGCCGUUCAGACGAAGGUCGCAUUUCAAAAGAUCGGAUACGUAUCGGAUUCAGGACCACAUACCCAAGUGGCCUGGGUCACAUUUGAAAAGAUCGGAUCUGUGUCGUUCAGACUGUCAUGAAAAGAUCAGAUACAGGUCGCAUAGGGGCAAAAAAAUCGGAAUUGGGUCGUUUCAGACUGUAGUAUGAACGUAGCCUAACUGACAGACUGUAUAACGUUACACGUCUUACCAAGAAACCUUUUAAAGUUUAGCACAAAUGUUUCUCGUGGAAGUUUGAAUCUCUCUCAGUCAGGGGGGAGAUUGACUGACAGACGGUCUACUUGCCACCAGACAGUAAUUUACCCUGAUACCUUUUUAAGUUUAGCACAAAUGUUUCCCGUGGAAGUUUGAAUCUCUCUCAGUCAGGGGGGAGAUUGACUGACAGACGGUCUACUUGCCACCAAACAGUAAUUUACCCUGAAACCUUUUUAAGUAAGGACUAACGUAAACUGACUCUCUGUCUGCUCUCAACCAAACAGUCAUUUAAGACCUUCUAAAGCUUAGCGCAAACGUUUCCUGCGCAAGUUUGAAUCUCUCAGUCAAGGGGGAGAUUGACUGACUGACUGACUGUCUACUCGCCACCAAACGUCAAAAGUCAGUUACACAGAAUCCUUUUAAAGUUUAGCACAAACGUUUCCCGCGCAAGUUUGGAUCUUUACCAUUGAGGGUGGCUGACUGUUCUCGACCAACCAUCAUUCACACGCAAAAACUUUAAAGAUAAGUAUGAACGUGCCCAGAGCAGUUUUCGAUCUUUACCAUUAAGGAGGCUGACUGACUAUCGUCUACCACCCGUCAUUAACACAAUAAAAACUAAAGAAAUGUUACUCCAUAUGGACCUAUUCAUUUACUCAUUAUGCUGUGAGUACACCACAGUUUUAUCAGGGAAAAAAUUUAUAUUUGUGUGUUUCUCACUGCUUGGCAAGGACAGAUGUGGCCCUGUUAAAAAUGUUUAAAUGUUGUUUGGUUUAAGGAACAGCACACUGAUUUUGUUUUAAAAUAUUCCUGUUUGGACAGUCUGUUAAAGCCAUAAAGGAAUACUUGAUAUAUUUCAUAAGUAAAGUGUAAAUGUAAUAUUAGUUUUUAAUGUUGUGAAUUUGGACUGAACAGCACACUUCUGUUUUAUAUCUAAACCUUUUGUAAAAUAAAUGAUUGUUCAAUAAACUGUGUAUUUUA
Paramisgurnus dabryanus is the source of this 2989-nucleotide long non-coding RNA. RefSeq lists it as uncharacterized. The record is from RefSeq and is a predicted model, not a curated record. NCBI's taxonomy places the organism in Eukaryota, Metazoa, Chordata, Actinopteri, Cypriniformes, Cobitidae.